AGACAAAGUAGCCAGCCCACCAUCCCUAGAUGAUUUUCCAGUCUUUGCACACCAGUGUGGCCAUAGGCUUGUUUUCUCCUGGACUGAGCCUGAAGAUCCUACGAGCAAGCAUACGUCCUGUGCUCCAUUAGUCCUAGCUGGAUCGUGGACAUAUUACCAUCAUUACAAAUAUCAACAGUUUGUGAUUACUUCAAACAAUCUGAAGUUGAAGGACCCCAGAUAUCCUUUAAAACAGGAAUCUGCAGGCAGAUGCUGAACCCAUGAAUACAGAGGGACAACUAUGCUCCAGCCCUGAAUGCAGGAGAGUUGCUAAAGAAGUUGCUCACAAAGGCUAGAGAGAGCAGGCUACUGAUUUCCUUCAAAAUGGAAUAGGAAACAGAAAACGUGCAUCAUUUCUUCGCACUUGAAUCAGCAACAUGACAUAGGACUUUGGCAUCAG
Long non-coding RNA from Nomascus leucogenys (northern white-cheeked gibbon), 439 nucleotides. RefSeq lists it as uncharacterized. The record is from RefSeq and is a predicted model, not a curated record. The transcript has 5 exons. NCBI's taxonomy places the organism in Eukaryota, Metazoa, Chordata, Mammalia, Primates, Hylobatidae.